Molecule: ribosomal RNA, 301 nt
Filed under: uncultured bacterium
Lineage: Bacteria
Description: partial 16S ribosomal RNA
Rfam family: Bacterial small subunit ribosomal RNA
Source: RNAcentral
CAGCCGCCACGGGAAUACGUAGGUGGCAAGCGUUGUCCGGAAUUAUUGGGCGUAAAGCGUGCGCAGGCGGUUCUAUAAGACAGCCGUGAAAUCCCCGGGCUCAACCUGGGACCUGCAUUUGUGACUGUAUAGCUAGAGUACGGUAGAGGGGGAUGGAAUUCCGCGUGUAGCAGUGAAAUGCGUAGAUAUGCGGAGGAACACCGAUGGCGAAGGCAAUCCCCUGGACCUGUACUGACGCUCAUGCACGAAAGCGUGGGGAGCAAACAGGAUUAGAUACCCCUGUAGUCCCUGUCUCUUAUAC